RNAcentral lists this ribosomal RNA (228 nucleotides) under uncultured bacterium. Its description in RNAcentral is "partial 16S ribosomal RNA". It matches the Rfam family "Bacterial small subunit ribosomal RNA", at positions 568 to 796 of the family's 1533-position model. The record is from RNAcentral.
UGCGUAGGCGGAUUAAUAAGUCAGUGGUGAAAACCUGCAGCUUAACUGCAGACCUGCCAUUGAUACUGUUAGUCUUGAGUACGGUCAAGGUAGGCGGAAUGUGUAAUGUAGCGGUGAAAUGCUUAGAUAUUACACAGAACACCGAUUGCGAAGGCAGCUUACUGGGCCAUUACUGACGCUGAGGCACGAAAGCGUGGGAGCGAACAGGAUUAGAUACCCUGGUAGUCC